GAUGAACGCUAGCUACAGGCCUAACACAUGCAAGUCGAGGGAAACGGCAGCUUAGCUUGCUAAGCUGGACGUCGACCGGCGCACGGGUGAGUAACGCGUAUCCAACCUGCCCCACGGUGAGGGAUAACCCGCGGAAACCGCGGCCUAAUACCUCAUGGUCUCCGAGCUUGACAUCAACCUUGGAGUAAAGAUUCAUUGCCGUGGGAUGGGGAUGCGUCUGAUUAGCUUGUUGGCGGGGCAACGGCCCACCAAGGCGACGAUCAGUAGGGGUUCUGGAGAGGAAAGCCCCCCCANAUUGGAACUGAGACACGGUCCAAACUCCUACGGGAGGCCAGCAGUGAGGAAUAUUGGUC
This 353-nucleotide ribosomal RNA is filed under the name uncultured bacterium. Its description in RNAcentral is "bacterial SSU rRNA". It matches the Rfam family "Bacterial small subunit ribosomal RNA", at positions 28 to 369 of the family's 1533-position model. The record is from RNAcentral.